RNAcentral lists this long non-coding RNA (376 nucleotides) under Trifolium pratense (red clover). Its description in RNAcentral is "long non-coding RNA (TPRA_LNC001772)". The record is from RNAcentral. Lineage: Eukaryota; Viridiplantae; Streptophyta; Magnoliopsida; Fabales; Fabaceae.
GCCUGUUAGAAGACCAACCAAGCAUGAAGAUAUUAUUCCUGAAUUUCGAACCCAUUCAACUUGUUCUGAAGACGAAGAAGAAGAAGAAGAAGAAGGUUCUUCAUCCUGUUCAUCGAUGUCUCUAUUUUGGCUGUUGUCAGGAGGCAGAGAAAACCUACGCCUUGAUCGGCGGCGGCCAUUUGUAAUAGUGAAGUUGGUGGCGUAAUUCUUGUUUGAGCAAGGACAAGAAGAAGAAGAAGAAGAAGAGGAGGAGGAGGCAGCAGCAGCGAAAAGGAGAAACCGAUGAUGAUGAUGAUGAUGCCAGCUGGCCGUUUGAAGUCCAACCGCAUUAUAUCCUAAACUAACCAUUUCUCACCAUAUUCCAUCUUCUUUCCCC